AACGUAGGUCGCGAGCGUUAUCCGGAGUUACUGGGCGUAAAGCGCGCGCAGGCGGCCUGACAAGUCUGAUGUGAAAUCACCCGGCUCAACCGGGCGAGGCCAUUGGAAACUGACAGGCUGGAGGGCAGUAGAGGUAGGCGGAAUUCCGGGUGGAGUGGUGAAAUGCGUAGAGAUCCGGAGGAACACCAGAGGCGAAGGCGGCCUACUGGGCUGCACCUGACGCUGAGCCGCGAAAGCCAGGGGAGCGAACGGG
RNAcentral lists this ribosomal RNA (253 nucleotides) under uncultured bacterium. RNAcentral's name for it is "partial 16S ribosomal RNA". It matches the Rfam family "Bacterial small subunit ribosomal RNA", at positions 524 to 776 of the family's 1533-position model. The record is from RNAcentral.